AUCACGUGUGAGGAGCGCAAACCUGCGUUCCUAUUGGUCCAGAACGGGAAAGGGGCCCCAGUCUUUCCCUUCAUUUCACCGGAACGCUGUCGGACAUUGUUGUUGUCAUGAAACAGAAUCAUAGUGUAUGUUUUCUCCAAAGAAUAACGAGCCGGCGAAUAUCGUUGGAAUUCAAUCCGCAUUGUCUCUAAAUCGACUUCCGAGAUAUGUCUGUGAAACGGGUGAUAUAUGUAAUGAAUGGGGAAGUGGCGAGGCGUUACUUUACUUUAACAAGUUAACCGUAAUCUGGUUACGGGGUUGUCUGAGGUAAGGACAGUGGUUGAGGUGUUUUGUUAGGUGCCUGAAUAUAUAGAGAUUUUUUUUCUCUCUUUAUAACAGUCAGCUUGAUCGUAAGGAAACUGGCACCGUGUGAUCAGAUGUACACGGACAUGUUGGGGAAUAACGAUCUGUACUCACACAAGUAGGACCUAAUAUUUGUUUUCAAUGUGGAAUUCUAUUUUUGCUUGUUGAGUAUUCAGAUAACCUAUUUGAUCGUAUUUAGGCGAACAUAUUAGGUCAUCAAAAUAUCUUCCAACAACAAUUUGACUAUAAUUAGAAUAGAUAUAUUUUUCAGAAAAUAACCUAAUAUUCUCGAAACAAUCAUGUCAGACUAUACACAGAGGUCUCUGCCUUUUUGUCAGCGGCUGAGUUACGCUGUGGGACACUUUCUGAACGAUCUGUGUGCGUCUAUGUGGUUCACCUACCUGUUGGUGUACUACCACUCCGUGCUGGGCUUUCAGAACACCUAUGCAGGUGUGUUACUGCUGGUGGGGCAGAUAGCGGACGGGGUCUGCACACCCCUUAUCGGCUACGAGUCGGACCAGACGCCGGGGUGUGGGACAUACGGCAAGAGGAAGACAUGGCAUUUAGUGGGUACGGUCAGUGUGCUGAUGUCCUUUGCGUUCAUCUUUAAUCAGUGUCUGGGGUGUGACCAGUACACCCCUCAGUGGGUCAGCCUGACGUACUUCAUCCCAUUCAUCAUCAUCUUCCAGUUCGGCUGGGCUGCCACGCAGAUCUCACACCUGUCACUCAUCCCUGAGCUGGUGUCCUGCGAACACGCCAAGGUGGAGCUCACUGCUUACAGGUAUGCGUUUACAGUGAUGGCCAAUAUAACAGUGUACGCUGUGGCCUAUCUGCUGUUCCACUUCCAGACCGGAUCAGACGAGGACCCCUCUCUCACCGAGACCCUGGGUCCCAUAGAUAUCCCUAUAUUCAGGAACCUGAGCCUCAUCGUGCUGGGUAUCGGUGCUCUUUCCUCUGUCCUCUUUCACCUGGGCACACGGGAAGAGAAGAGAGAAGAGGAGGAUGAUGAAGGAGAAGAGAAAGGAGAGCGCCGGCCCCUUAUCCCUCGCCCUCAGGCUGCCGCCCCUGUCCAGUCGCUGCUGAGGUGGAAAUGCUGGCUGAAACAGCCUUCCUUUUACCAGGUAGCGUUUCUCUACAUGUCCACCAGACUGAUAGUGAACGUGUCUCAGACGUACAUCUCCAUGUAUCUUACCAACACUCUCAUGUUGCCAAAGAAAUACAUUGCCACUAUUCCCCUGGUGAUGUACGUCAGUGGCUUCGCUUCCUCUUUCAUCAUGAAGCCUAUCAGCAAACUCAUCGGCAAAUGUAUGACCUACUUUGUGGGCCUGCUGCUGAUCAUGGCCUUCUCUUAUUGGGUGUUGAUAGACGACCAGAUGGGUGACCGGAUCUACGGGGCGUCCGUCCUUCUAGGGGUGGGGUCAGCUACCAUCCUGGUGAUGUCACUCUCCAUGACCGCUGACCUCAUCGGGGACCAGACGCAAAGUGGAGCGUUUGUUUAUGGGUCGAUGAGCUUCACUGACAAGGUGGCCAACGGAGUAGCUGUUAUGAUGAUACAGACUCUACACCCCUGCCAUUCUCAGGUCUGCUGUCCAGCGUGUGUGUGGUACUACCACUAUGUCAUGGUCAUAGCAACAGGGGGCGUGGCCGUCAUAGCAGCUCUCAGUCUCUGUACCAUCCUUGUCUGGCCUAUCAGGAUCGUCCGCCAGACCGACGUGAAGAACAUAGACAAUUCUAACUACGAUUGGGUGGUUUCAGUGGGGCGGGGCCAGGACUCUGGCAAGAAGAACCAACACAAGGAGAACAUAGACAACCCUAACUACACUCAGGAAGCGGGGCAGGGUCUGCCUUACAUCUCAGGUCUGAUGGGCAGCGAGGAUCAGGACAUCUCCGAGGACAACUCUUACCAGCCUAGACCAACGGUCAACUAAGGAACUACGGUUGGCAGAGUUACCUGGACCCUACUGUAGUAGAGACCAGCCAGUCCCACUUAUCCCUGGGUGAAUAACCACUGCAGAACCCAGCCUGUCUCUUCAGGGAUUAUAGUUUAACUCUGUGGCCUCUCCAGGACUCACUCAGGCAUCUUAAAACUCUCAACUGGAACAACAAACAUUUUAGACUGAAAAGUCAUCUCACCGUAGUGUUCACAAACAGCCAACUGGACUAGCAGUAGUUCCUCUGAAAGAAUCAAGACUUUCCUUCUGGACCUGACCAGUAGCUGUGCUGUACUGCAGGGGAGUUGGGUUGAAGAGCAGCCAUCAGGACCCAUUUCUACUAUAGAUCAAUACGUUGCUUUGCUGUCGCAGAGUAUCGGUCAAUUCAGUGUACAACAUUACUGUCAACAUGAGGGAGGUUAUACAGUAACACAGUCCAUUGUCUCUCUCUCAAUCAGCACCUUCUCACAGUCAUACUGCAGUUGAUUCAGUGGGCUGAUUCAGUUGGUUGAUUCAAUUAUGUGGAUUCAGUUGGCUGAUUCAGUUGGUUGAUUCAGUUCAACAGUGCCGAAAUGAUUGAGUACAUAUCUACACUGACACACUCGGGUCCAGAAUACGUACAUACCCCUCUUGAGAAAAGUCCUAUAAUACACUAUUAUACCAUCUGUUGUGAAUGUCCAAAAACAAUACAUUAUUGAACUUAAUUGACACACUAUUUAUGCUGAUUACAGCCCACUGGGCAUACACUGGUUGAAUCAGCGUUGUUUCCACGUCAUUUCAAUGAAAUGACUUUGAACCAACAUGGAAUAGAUGUUGAAUGGCCGUCUGCCCAGUGGGAGGUGACAUGUCAUCAGAACAGCUUUUGUUUUGAACCAACAUGGAAUAGAUGUUGAAUGGCCGUCUGCCCAGUGGGAGGUGACAUGUCAUCAGAACAGCUUUUGUUUUGAACCAACAUGGAAUAGAUGUUGAAUGGCCGUCUGCCCAGUGGGAGGUGACAUGUCAUCAGAACAGCUUUUGUUUUGAACCAACAUGGAAUAGAUGUUGAAUGGCCGUCUGCCCAGUGGGAGGUGACAUGUCAUCAGAACAGCUUUUGUUUUGAACCAACAUGGAAUGGAUGUUGAAUGGCCGUCUGCCCAGUGGGAGGUGACAUGUCAUCAGAACAGCUUUUGUUUUGAACCAACAUGGAAUAGAUGUUGAAUGGCCGUCUGCCCAGUGGGAGGUGACAUGUCAUCAGAACAGCUUUUGUUUUGAACCAACAUGGAAUGGAUGUUGAAUGGCCGUCUGCCCAGUGGGAGGUGACAUGUCAUCAGAACAGCUUUUGUUUUGAACCAACAUGGAAUGGAUGUUGAAUGGCCGUCUGCCCAGUGGGAGGUGACAUGUCAUCAGAACAGCUUUUGUUUUGAACCAACAUGGAAUGGAUGUUGAAUGGCCGUCUGCCCAGUGGGAGGUGACAUGUCAUCAGAACAGCUUUUGUUUUGAACCAACAUGGAAUAGAUGUUGAAUGGCCGUCUGCCCAGUGGGAGGUGACAUGUCAUCAGAACAGCUUUUGUUUUGAACCAACAUGGAAUAGAUGUUGAAUGGCCGUCUGCCCAGUGGGAGGUGACAUGUCAUCAGAACAGCUUUUGUUUUGAACCAACAUGGAAUAGAUGUUAAAUGGCCGUCUGCCCAGUGGGAGGUGACAUGUCAUCAGAACAGCUUUUGUUUUGAACCAACAUGGAAUAGAUGUUGAAUGGCCGUCUGCCCAGUGGGAGGUGACAUGUCAUCAGAACAGCUUUUGUUUUGAACCAACAUGGAAUAGAUGUUGAAUGGCCGUCUGCCCAGUGGGAGGUGACAUGUCAUCAGAACAGCUUUUGUUUUGAACCAACAUGGAAUAGAUGUUGAAUGGCCGUCUGCCCAGUGGGAGGUGACAUGUCAUCAGAACAGCUUUUGUUUUGAACCAACAUGGAAUGGAUGUUGAAUGGCCGUCUGCCCAGUGGGAGGUGACAUGUCAUCAGAACAGCUUUUGUUUUGAACCAACAUGGAAUAGAUGUUGAAUGGCCGUCUGCCCAGUGGGAGGUGACAUGUCAUCAGAACAGCUUUUGUUUUGAACCAACAUGGAAUGGAUGUUGAAUGGCCGUCUGCCCAGUGGGAGGUGACAUGUCAUCAGAACAGCUUUUGUUUUGAACCAACAUGGAAUAGAUGUUGAAUGGCCGUCUGCCCAGUGGGAGGUGACAUGUCAUCAGAACAGCUUUUGUUUUGAGGUAAGUUGUCAAUGUAACUAUUGUGUGUUUUAUUCCAGUGUUGGGAACAUUUAAUUCCAGUGUGGUAGUCAUUGUGUUGUAGUAAUAAUAUGACGUUGUGUUGCUUUAAACUACAUCAUGUUGUGUGUUUUGAUGACAUGUUCUUAUGUAAAUUGCGUUGCAAGUAAAAUAAGGAUUUGUGGGGGCAUUUAUUAAAUUAAAACGAAUCAGGAUUGUGAAAAGGGAUACCUUGCAAUAUGGAUAAACCGAGUGGAAUAAAUACUGAGCAACAAUAUAAACGCAACCAUUUUACUGAGUUACUGGUCCUAUGACUUCGUUAGGGCUUAAUCUAUGGAUUUCACAUGACUGCGUAGGGGCACAGCCGUGGGCGGUCCUUGGCCAAGGAGAAAUGCUCACUAACAGGGAUGUAAAACACAAUGUGCUCAAAAUUAGAUAGAAAUCAUAUUUUUGUACGUAUGGAACAUUUCUGGGAUCUUCUUUUUUUCAGCUCAUGAAACAUGGGACCAACUCUUUACAUGUUGCGGUUAUAUUUUUGUUCAGUAUAUAUGAAUAGUAGAAUAUAUUUCCUGGGUGAUAUUCAGGUUACUGGACAGACAGAGAUGAUUCUACGUCUCAAACAAUAGAACUAGAAUCAUUAGAGUAGAAUCAUUCUAAUUCUACGGGGGAAACAUUUUGCACAGGGUGACUAGGAAACUGCCUUAUAGGAAAACAUUUGAUCUCUCUCAAAUUGUUUUGUAUUCAUUGCUUUUUAUUUCCAAUAUAUUGUGAAGUGACUUUUUCCCCCCUACUGUUCAUGUCUGUUUUUUGCUCAUUCUUUGGGAAGUAUAUUAAACAUAUUUCAUACUACUGUCA
Non-coding RNA from Oncorhynchus mykiss (rainbow trout), 5365 nucleotides. The record is from RefSeq and is a predicted model, not a curated record. Lineage: Eukaryota; Metazoa; Chordata; Actinopteri; Salmoniformes; Salmonidae.